Molecule: ribosomal RNA, 290 nt
Filed under: Stethorus punctillum
Lineage: Eukaryota; Metazoa; Arthropoda; Insecta; Coleoptera; Coccinellidae
Description: partial 12S ribosomal RNA
Source: RNAcentral
GAUUAAUAGUUAUGUUCUUUAAAGUUAAAUAAAAUGGCGGUACUUUAUUCUUUUCAGAGGAACCUGUUCUAUAAUUGAUAAUCCACGAUUAAUUUUACUUAAAUUAGAAGUUUGUAUAUCGUUGUUUAAAAUAUUUUAUUAAAAUUUAAAUAUUUGUAAAUUUUUAUAAAAAUAUAAAUCAGAUCAAGGUAUAGUUUAUAUUUAAGGAGUAAUGGGUUACAUUAAGAUUACUUAUGGAUAAUAAAAUGAAAUUUUUAUUUAAAAUUGGAUUUGAUAGUAAUUAAAUUUAU